This 500-nucleotide ribosomal RNA is filed under the name uncultured bacterium. RNAcentral describes it as "partial 16S ribosomal RNA". It matches the Rfam family "Bacterial small subunit ribosomal RNA", at positions 30 to 523 of the family's 1533-position model. The record is from RNAcentral.
AUUGAACGCUGGCGGAAUGCUUUACACAUGCAAGUCGAACGGCAGCACGGACUUCGGUCUGGUGGCGAGUGGCGAACGGGUGAGUAAUACAUCGGAACGUGCCCAGUCGUGGGGGAUAACGUAGCGAAAGCUACGCUAAUACCGCAUACGAUCUAAGGAUGAAAGCGGGGGAUCGCAAGACCUCGCGCGAUUGGAGCGGCCGAUGGCAGAUUAGGUAGUUGGUAGGGUAGAGGCCUACCAAGCCGACGAUCUGUAGCUGGUCUGAGAGGACGACCAGCCACACUGGGACUGAGACACGGCCCAGACUCCUACGGGAGGCAGCAGUGGGGAAUUUUGGACAAUGGACGCAAGUCUGAUCCAGCCAUUCCGCGUGCAGGAUGAAGGCCCUCGGGUUGUAAACUGCUUUUGUACAGAACGAAAAAGCUCUGGUUAAUACCUGGAGCUCAUGACGGUACUGUAAGAAUAAGCACCGGCUAACUACGUGCCAGCCGCCGCAGUAA